CAUUAUUACAUCAAGCAAUUUAGAACCAUGGGGAUUGUAAGUGCUAUGAUGGAAACGCUCUUAGGCAUCCUCUCAGCCACAGAUUUACCUGGAAAACAAGACAACUGGGACACAGAGAAAAGUUUCAUCCCUUUCACACCAGAUGACCCUGCACUAAGAGGCUGGUAUGAUUCCAGAGAGAAACCUGGAAGCAAAGCAACCUAGAGCUCUCUGGCGAUAUAUGCUCUGUUUUCAGUAAAAUUAGUUGAAACGUGUUGGGGUGUUUUCUUCUAAAAUUUCCAUUUUAUCUCUUUGCUUGUACUUAGGAAAAUAUUGCUUAUGAGUCCUUUGUAAAUUAGAGGAAAAGAAGCAUAUUGAAAUAGAAAAAGAUAAAAUUCACCCUUAUCGCUCUUCUUCAUGUUCCACACACCUUCAAGUACUGUUUCUAUGUAGAUAAUACCCAUAAAUACCCCCAGCUCUGACUUUUCCCUCAAGUGUUUACUGAGCUAUCUACUUCGAUAUUACAAAUCUUCACUCCACUGUUUCCAAACCU
RNAcentral lists this long non-coding RNA (532 nucleotides) under Felis catus (domestic cat). Its description in RNAcentral is "lncRNA (ENSFCAG00000048335.1)". The record is from RNAcentral. Lineage: Eukaryota; Metazoa; Chordata; Mammalia; Carnivora; Felidae.